GAGUGCAGUAGGGGAGUCUGGAAUUCCUGGUGUAGCGGUGAAAUGCGCAGAUAUCAGGAGGAACACCGGUGGCGAAGGCGGGACUCUGGGCUGUAACUGACACUGAGGAGCGAAAGCAUGGGGAGCGAACAGGAUUAGAUACCCUGGUAGUCCAUGCCGUAAACGUUGGGCACUAGGUGUGGGGGGACAUUCCACGUUCUCCGCGCCGUAGCUAACGCAUUAAGUGCCCCGCCUGGGGAGUACGGUCGCAAGGCUAAAACUCAAAGGAAUU
This 271-nucleotide ribosomal RNA is filed under the name uncultured actinomycete. RNAcentral's name for it is "partial 16S ribosomal RNA". It matches the Rfam family "Bacterial small subunit ribosomal RNA", at positions 644 to 911 of the family's 1533-position model. Lineage: Bacteria; Bacillati; Actinomycetota; Actinomycetes; Actinomycetales. The record is from RNAcentral.